This 492-nucleotide ribosomal RNA is filed under the name uncultured bacterium. RNAcentral's name for it is "partial 16S ribosomal RNA". It matches the Rfam family "Bacterial small subunit ribosomal RNA", at positions 29 to 507 of the family's 1533-position model. The record is from RNAcentral.
AGUGAACGCUGGCGGUAGGCCUAACACAUGCAAGUCGAGCGGCAGCACAGUAAGAGCUUGCUCUUACGGGUGGCGAGUGGCGGACGGGUGAGGAAUACAUCGGAAUCUACUUUUUCGUGGGGGAUAACGUAGGGAAACUUACGCUAAUACCGCAUACGACCUACGGGUGAAAGCAGGGGAGCUUCGGACCUUGCGCGAUUGAAUGAGCCGAUGUCGGAUUAGCUAGUUGGCGGGGUAAAGGCCCACCAAGGCGACGAUCCGUAGCUGGUCUGAGAGGAUGAUCAGCCACACUGGAACUGAGACACGGUCCAGACUCCUACGGGAGGCAGCAGUGGGGAAUAUUGGACAAAGGGCGCAAGCCUGAUCCAGCCAUACCGCGUGGGUGAAGAAGGCCUUCGGGUUGUAAAGCCCUUUUGUUGGGAAAGAAAAGCAGCAGGUUAAUACCCCGCUGUUCUGACGGUACCCAAAGAAUAAGCACCGGCUAACUUCGUG